This 328-nucleotide unclassified non-coding RNA is filed under the name uncultured fungus. Its description in RNAcentral is "partial contains small subunit ribosomal RNA, internal transcribed spacer 1, and 5.8S ribosomal RNA". The stretch from base 280 to 328 matches the Rfam family "5.8S ribosomal RNA", at positions 1 to 49 of the family's 154-position model. The record is from RNAcentral. Lineage: Eukaryota; Fungi.
CCAAACUUGGUCAUUUAGAGGAAGUAAAAGUCGUAACAAGGUCUCCGUAGGUGAACCGUAAGUCAAUGUCCAUCAAAUCGCCGUCUCAAUUGGAACGGAUGCUAACCGAUUCGCAGUGCGGAGGGAUCAUUAAAAGAGAUAGGGUCUCCGGGCCCGACCUCCAACCCCUUGUAAACCGAACCUUUGUUGCCUCGGGGGCGACCCGGCCCCCGCCGGGGCCCCCGACGGACCACUCAACUCUGCAUCUAUGCGUCGGAUUGUCACAGCAAAUUGAUUAAAAACUUUCAACAACGGAUCUCUUGGUUCCGGCAUCGAUGAAGAACGCAGC